GACGAACGCUGGCGGCGUGCUUAACACAUGCAAGUCGAACGGAAAGGCCCUGCUUUUGUGGGGUGCUCGAGUGGCGAACGGGUGAGUAACACGUGAGUAACCUGCUCUUGACUUUGGGAUAACUUCAGGAAACUGGGGCUAAUACCGGAUAGGAGCUCCUGCUGCAUGGUGGGGGUUGGAAAGUUUCGGCGGUUGGGGAUGGACUCGCGGCUUAUCAGCUUGUUGGUGGGGUAGUGGCUUACCAAGGCUUUGACGGGUAGCCGGCCUGAGAGGGUGACCGGCCACAUUGGGACUGAGAUACGGCCCAGACUCCUACGGGAGGCAGCAGUGGGGAAUAUUGCACAAUGGGCGGAAGCCGGAUGCAGCAACGCCGCGUGCGGGAUGACGGCCUUCGGGUUGUAAACCGCUUUCGCCUGUGACGAAGCGUGAGUGACGGUAAUGGGUAAAGAAGCACCGGCUAACUACGUG
RNAcentral lists this ribosomal RNA (468 nucleotides) under uncultured bacterium. RNAcentral describes it as "partial 16S ribosomal RNA". It matches the Rfam family "Bacterial small subunit ribosomal RNA", at positions 28 to 507 of the family's 1533-position model. The record is from RNAcentral.